Long non-coding RNA from Agrilus planipennis (emerald ash borer), 569 nucleotides. RefSeq lists it as uncharacterized. NCBI's taxonomy places the organism in Eukaryota, Metazoa, Arthropoda, Insecta, Coleoptera, Buprestidae. The transcript has 3 exons. The record is from RefSeq and is a predicted model, not a curated record.
AUUGUUCUGUACCAAUUUGCGACAUUCACACAGGCACUGGUACCGGCUAAUUAAUAGUAACUUAGUAGUAGGCAAAGUUUUCAUUAGCAGCGCCGUUAUUCUGUACGGGUGCCGUCGCACCGCCGCCCCUUGCUUUGUCUAAUUCGGAUUGGCAACAAAGUAUGCAUCCGAUAUUUUUCAAAAAUUGGCUUCUACCAUUAAUGGGUCGUUAUUAAAUCGGAUUCGGAAUUUUUAUCGAGAACAGAAGACAGCAAAAACAGUUUCUCUGAAAACGCUGCAGAUAAAGGAAAAAUCUGGAUCCAUGUUGCGCUAGUCAAUCUGGAGUUCAACCGGGAAACAUGGACAAACAACGUGUAGGAAUUUCUUCAUCCUACUCUUAGUCUAUGUCUAAUAUGUGAUUCGUCGCGGCUCCAGUCGUCAUCAGCCACGUUUUGCAUGUAAUCAGUAUUGUAUUUUAAUAUAAUACUCGUUUCUUAUAACAGCAAUGACGAAGUCUAAUCAGAGCUAAAUUCCACAAUAAUAAUAAUUAAUUCCAAAAACAUAAUUGUUUAUUUUGUAACUAAUAUUAC